CGGGGACAGGGUGUGGGUGUACUGCCGCGUUUUCCUGUUUACGGAAACCACACGUUUCCCUUUCACUAGCGAGACUGAAUAAAGUAACCCUCCACUGCAACCAGGUCUGGUAAUUGCAACGCUCUAACCCAUUCUCCACGGUGCUUUGAUAAGUCCUAUCGCUCUCCAGACAGACGGACAGUCAGUCAGACUUACUGACUGACUGACUGACUGACUGACUGACUGACGCCUAGCCCCCCUCCCCCCUCCCUCCCCCACCCCAAGACAGACCCAGAGAAGAUCUGCAGGGUUAAGGACUGGGAGAGGCCAACGAAUCGGAAGGAAGUGCUGCAGUUCUUGGGGUUCGCUGGAUAUUGCAGGCGGUACGUUGAAGGCUACUCAAGCAUAGCUGCUCCUUUAUACCACCUCACAUCUGGUGAUCCCAGAAAGAAAAUGAGGGGAAAGAAGAGAUUGGGUCCCGAACCACCCUUUUUUGUGAGUGUGAAAAGGCCUUUCAGUCCCUAAAACAAAAGUUGACAACUGCUCCAGUGCUGGCCUAUCCAGAUUACAGCUAGCCUUUUGUGCGGUCUUGGCUCAAUUCCAGGGUGGAACCGAGAGGGUCAUAGCCUAUGCGAGCAGAGGCUUGAGGCCAACAGAGUCAAGGUAUCCUGCUCGCAUAAACUAGAGUUUUGCGAUUUGCAAAUUGCGUUUUCUUAAAUUGCGAUGGUGGUUUGAAUUCGAUUAAUCGUUCAGAUCUACCGGCCGGUUGGUGAAAAAGGCACAGCGAUGCCUAUUCUACCUCAGGCGGAUGAAGAAGUUUGGCAUAGGGCCCAAGACCCUACGGGCCAUCUAAAGAGGCACUACAGAGAGCCUUCUGACAGCUAAGAUCCCCGCCUGACAUGGGAACAGCACUGCUCUCGACCGCAAAGCACUGCAGAGGAUCGUGGGACAGUUUCAUGUUUCAGUUUCAGAUCAUGGACAAUGGAGUCUCGCGGCCUGUGGCCUGCUGCCUGUCCCUAUUCCAUUGCACUUUUGCUCUUGUGACUUCUGUCCAUUUGUUUAGAUUUCUAUUGUUUAGAUUAUAUUGUUAUUUCAUUGAUAUUUCUAUUUUUUAGUUUGAUGCUGCAAGCAGGGAAGCCAGAACACAUUUUAUUGUGGUAUACUUGUAUAUGAAAUGGCACUAUGAAUAAUCUUGAAUCUACUGAAAUGUACUGUACACUAUUUGAUAAAUGCAUCAAAUAUUCUCAGUGAAUGCAUGGCCAGAGUAGAGGUAGAAAAGGUGACCAGACGUCUUAUUUGGUCAAUGAAGUCUAUUGAACUUAUAGCUCACAAGAGUAGUUACAUAAACUGAAUCCCAUACCAUACAUAAGUAAAACCGGUUAUUCUAACUUCAACUUUUUUUACCCAUCUAAUUGUGGGUCCUUUCUUCUACCUCAGGCCAUUCCUCAGAAACCAACUUGGGCGGGUUGAAACUGGCUUUGAAUGCAGAUGUUUUUAUCUGUCAUUACCUGUUUUACCAAAGACAGGACAUACAGGUCAAAGAUUUUACACACAUUGACUUCAGCCUGGAGUCGUUAUGUCCAGCAAAGUAAAUUAUUUCUGAUAAAGCAGUUAUGGGGUUAAUCUGCUGCAUCCAAGAUAAAAUCUCCAACAAAGUAAAUAAUGGAGAGAGAGUGAGAGAAUGAGGGGCCACCGACUGGGUAUCCAAGUGGAGGUUGCUGUCAACUUUCUCAGGGAAACGACUUUGACAUCUCUACCAUGGCCGUGGACAGUGGUAAGACCGUAACAGUAGUGCUGGCAGCACUGGGCCGGCCCUUCCGUCUGGGGAUGCUCUACGACUGUCGCAAUGACUCACUGAUCCCCGGUAAAUAAAUACAAGUCCCGAGACAAUA
Long non-coding RNA from Gadus morhua (Atlantic cod), 1871 nucleotides. RefSeq lists it as uncharacterized. The record is from RefSeq and is a predicted model, not a curated record. NCBI's taxonomy places the organism in Eukaryota, Metazoa, Chordata, Actinopteri, Gadiformes, Gadidae. The transcript has 2 exons.